Lolium perenne is the source of this 494-nucleotide long non-coding RNA. RefSeq lists it as uncharacterized. The record is from RefSeq and is a predicted model, not a curated record. Lineage: Eukaryota; Viridiplantae; Streptophyta; Magnoliopsida; Poales; Poaceae.
CUUGGAUGGAGGUGACCAAGGAGACCUGUGACAAAGCAAAUGGCAUGGCGAUUCGGUCCGGGCAGUUCCGCCUUAAGCAGUGCUAUUGCCAUUGGGCUCGCUGGCUGCGUGGUGGUAGGAUCGGAUGGCCCUUGACCUCUGGACUCCGCCACUCGGUAGUGGCCACCGCCAUGUCGCUGAACUGGGCGUGGACCGGCUGUAGCUGCAUGAGGAAUGUGACAGCCUGGACAUGCGGGGCACCACCCCGGAGCCUGACAUGGAGGUUAUCAGGUCUGACCCCGAGCUCAGCUUGACUAGAAGCAGGAAAGCUUGCUGCCAUUCAGUAUGGCAUUGGUUGAAAUGUGAGGUAUUUCAGUGAGGAUAGUGUUACAAUAGGUGAUCUAGUUGAAAGAUCAGUAGGAGUUUAUUGAAGCUAUAAAGGAGCUAGGUAUUACUUUUUUGGUUGCAAAGUUUGAUGGCAUUCUUGGGCUUGGAUCGCAAGAAAUUUUUGUUGG